AUUGAACGCUGGCGGCAGGCCUAACACAUGCAAGUCGAGCGGAUGAAGGGAGCUUGCUCCUGGAUUCAGCGGCGGACGGGUGAGUAAUGCCUAGGAAUCUGCCUGGUAGUGGGGGAUAACGUCCGGAAACGGGCGCUAAUACCGCAUACGUCCUGAGGGAGAAAGUGGGGGAUCUUCGGACCUCACGCUAUCAGAUGAGCCUAGGUCGGAUUAGCUAGUUGGUGGGGUAAAGGCCUACCAAGGCGACGAUCCGUAACUGGUCUGAGAGGAUGAUCAGUCACACUGGAACUGAGACACGGUCCAGACUCCUAAGGGAGGCAGCAGUGGGGAAUAUUGGACAAUGGGCGAAAGCCUCAUCCAGCCAUGCCGCGUGUGUGAAGAAGGUCUUCGGAUUGUAAAGCACUUUAAGUUGGGAGGAAGGGCAGUAAGUUAAUACCUUGCUGUUUUGACGUUACCAACAGAAUAAGCACCGGCUAACUUCGUG
RNAcentral lists this ribosomal RNA (484 nucleotides) under uncultured bacterium. Its description in RNAcentral is "partial 16S ribosomal RNA". It matches the Rfam family "Bacterial small subunit ribosomal RNA", at positions 30 to 507 of the family's 1533-position model. The record is from RNAcentral.